This is a long non-coding RNA of Cloeon dipterum, 1297 nucleotides long. RefSeq lists it as uncharacterized. The record is from RefSeq and is a predicted model, not a curated record. The transcript is spliced from 3 exons. NCBI's taxonomy places the organism in Eukaryota, Metazoa, Arthropoda, Insecta, Ephemeroptera, Baetidae.
AACAACUUUUGCAAAUCAAAAAUAUGGAUCAUCGAUUUGAACAAGAACGAUCACACCGAGAUAAUUCAUCAGUUUUCUUUUCACGACUGGAUGCACGACUUGGUGCUUGACGAAAUGCCAAAUAAUGGAACGUUCGCCUACAUCUCGCGGUGGGAAGAACAAAAUAUUGUCGUGUUUAGUUUGGAAAGAAACGAAUCUUGGAUUGUGAAAACGCCAGAUGUCAAGGUUUUUUCCAUCGCCCUUUCCCCCAAGGAUCAGGAACCGAGACAGCUCUACCUUGGCAGCUACCACUCCAAUGAACUGUAUUCAAUUCCCGUUGUCGCUCUCCGCAGUCGAGUUCAAAGUGCAAAUCCGAAACUAAUCGGAAGAUGGACUGCAGAGCAACCCUAUAGAAUGCUAAUAGACAACCACGGGACCAUGUAUACCGCAUUUUUGUGGGCACACCAAAUACUUUCUUGGGAUACUUCCCAGCCAUUUCAGGAAAAGCAUUUUCGUGAGGUCGCAGGACUGUAUACUAAUAUACUAUUUACAUUUGCCUUGGACCAAAAUGGAACUCUUUGGAUGACGGAGAUUGAUGAAGAAAUAAGGCCUAGAUAUACGCUAAGGCUUUUGCAAGUUACGCCUACCAUUCCAACCACCACUACCAAGGUGAAGACUGAAAAACCGCACCUAUAUUGGCCUUUCAAAUUCAUUCUUAUCUACACCAUCGUGAUUAACUUGAUCCUGCGGGGUAUAUGAUCGUUUGAUCAUUCUGAGACAGAAGAAGGUCGAUUCCCAAUUCCCUUUCGCAAAACACCUAAAAGAGCCAUCAAAUGACCUUUUUCUGUGACAACCACGAUGACGUCUAUUCGAGGUCCCGUUCUUCUGAUCUAAAAGCAGCCGAAAAGUCCCAGAGUGCGACCGGUGGUGAGGAAAGUGAAAGUGAUAUCCGGGAAACCGAGGGGUUUUGAACAAUUUGGACAAACACCUCUUGAUCUAAAUCCAAUAUUUUAAAAACAUUCGAUUAUUUUUAAAAAUGUUUCAUUUUUAUCUGAAACAAAUAGUGUUUUGCCCUACUAUUUUUCUUUUACAACUUGCCAUUUAAAAAAAAAUAGGGAUAAAAAGCAGUUGUUGUUUUGUUCUGCAGUAAUUAUUCACAGAAAGCGAUACAAAUAUUAAUCAAAAGCAGACAUGAGUCUUUUUUCAGAAAAACAAAUUAUUUUAAGGCAGUUCAAUUUUCGUUUAAAAAUUAAUCUUGAGAAUGAAUGGUUUUUCAAUAAAAUCAAGCUCCUAUUGUGCAAUAAUUAAAAAAAAACAA